This 406-nucleotide ribosomal RNA is filed under the name uncultured bacterium. Its description in RNAcentral is "partial 16S ribosomal RNA". It matches the Rfam family "Bacterial small subunit ribosomal RNA", at positions 29 to 526 of the family's 1533-position model. The record is from RNAcentral.
AUUGAACGCUGGCGGCAGGCCUAACACAUGCAAGUCGAACGAGUGGCGGACGGGUGAGUAAUGUCUGGGAAACUGCCUGAUGGAGGGGGAUAACUACUGGAAACGGUAGCUAAUACCGCAUACCAUCGGAUGUGCCCAGAUGGGAUUAGCUAGUAGGUGGGGUAAAGGCUCACCUAGGCGACGAUCCCUAGCUGGUCUGAGAGGAUGACCAGCCGCACUGGAACUGAGACACGGUCCAGACUCCUGCGGGAGGCAGCAGUGGGGAGUAGUGCACAAUGGGCGCAAGCCAGAUGCAGCCAUGCCGCGUGUAUGAAGAGGGCCUGCGGGUUGUAGAGUACUUUCAGCGGGGAGGCGUUACCCGCAGACGAAGCACCGGCUAACUCCGUGCCAGCAGCCGCGGUAAUUC